This 307-nucleotide ribosomal RNA is filed under the name uncultured bacterium. RNAcentral's name for it is "bacterial SSU rRNA". It matches the Rfam family "Bacterial small subunit ribosomal RNA", at positions 28 to 334 of the family's 1533-position model. The record is from RNAcentral.
GACGAACGCUGGCGGCGUGCUUAACACAUGCAAGUCGAACGGAAGUAAAGAUUUCGGUUUUUACUUUAGUGGCGAACGGGUGAGUAACGCGUGAGGAACCUGCCUUUCAGUGGGGGACAACAGUUGGAAACGACUGCUAAUACCGCAUGAUACUAUUGGGCCGCAUGGUCUGGUAGUCAAAGAUUUAUUGCUGAAAGAUGGCCUCGCGUCUGAUUAGCUAGUUGGUGGGGUAACGGCCCACCAAGGCGACGAUCAGUAGCCGGACUGAGAGGUUGACCGGCCACAUUGGGACUGAGAUACGGCCCAG